Molecule: ribosomal RNA, 433 nt
Filed under: uncultured bacterium
Lineage: Bacteria
Description: partial 16S ribosomal RNA
Rfam family: Bacterial small subunit ribosomal RNA
Source: RNAcentral
AACGAACGCUGGCGGCAUGCCUAACACAUGCAAGUCGAACGAGACCUUCGGGUCUAGUGGCGCACGGGUGCGUAACGCGUGGGAAUCUGCCCUUGGGUUCGGAAUAACAGUGAGAAAUUACUGCUAAUACCGGAUGAUGUCUUCGGACCAAAGAUUUAUCGCCCAGGGAUGAGCCCGCGUAGGAUUAGCUAGUUGGUGGGGUAAUGGCCUACCAAGGCGACGAUCCUUAGCUGGUCUGAGAGGAUGAUCAGCCACACUGGGACUGAGACACGGCCCAGACUGCUACGGGAGGCAGCAGUGGGGAAUAUUGGACAAUGGGCGCAAGCCUGAUCCAGCAAUGCCGCGUGAGUGAUGAAGGCCUUAGGGUUGUAAAGCUCUUUUACCCGGGAUGAUAAUGACAGUACCGGGAGAAUAAGCUCCGGCUAACUCCGUG